GGCCUUGACAUACUAAGAACUUUCCAGAGAUGGAUUGGUGCCUUCGGGAACUUAGAUACAGGUGCUGCAUGGCUGUCGUCAGCUCGUAUCGUGAGAUGUUGGGUUAAGUCCCGCAACGAGCGCAACCCUUUUCCUAUUUGCCAGCGGGUCAUGCCGGGAACUUUAAGGAUACUGCCAGUGACAAACUGGAGGAAGGCGGGGACGACGUCAAGUCAUCAUGGCCCUUACGGCCAGGGCUACACACGUGCUACAAUGGUCGGUACAAAGGGUUGCUACCUCGCGAGAGGAUGCUAAUCUCAAAAAGCCGAUCGUAGUCCGGAUCGCAGUCUGCAACUCGACUGCGUGAAGUCGGAAUCGCUAGUAAUCGCGGAUCAGAAUGCCGCGGUGAAUACGUUCCCGGGCCUUGUACACACCGCCCGUCACACCAUGGGAGUUUGUUGCACCAGAAGUAGGUAGUCUAACCGCAAGGAGGACGCUUACCACGGUGUGGCCGAUGACUGGGGUGAAGUCGUAACAAGGUAGGCGUAGAUGA
RNAcentral lists this ribosomal RNA (532 nucleotides) under uncultured bacterium. RNAcentral's name for it is "bacterial SSU rRNA". It matches the Rfam family "Bacterial small subunit ribosomal RNA", at positions 977 to 1509 of the family's 1533-position model. The record is from RNAcentral.